This 73-nucleotide transfer RNA is filed under the name Camelus bactrianus (Bactrian camel). It matches the Rfam family "tRNA". From Rfam's summary of the family: Transfer RNA (tRNA) molecules are approximately 80 nucleotides in length. Their secondary structure includes four short double-helical elements and three loops (D, anti-codon, and T loops). Further hydrogen bonds mediate the characteristic L-shaped molecular structure. tRNAs have two regions of fundamental functional importance: the anti-codon, which is responsible for specific mRNA codon recognition, and the 3' end, to which the tRNAs corresponding amino acid is attached (by aminoacyl-tRNA synthetases). tRNAs cope with the degeneracy of the genetic code in two manners: having more than one tRNA (with a specific anti-codon) for a particular amino acid; and 'wobble' base-pairing, i.e. permitting non-standard base-pairing at the 3rd anti-codon position. Lineage: Eukaryota; Metazoa; Chordata; Mammalia; Artiodactyla; Camelidae. The record is from Rfam by way of RNAcentral. RNAcentral also lists the same sequence under 3 other names.
GGGUAUAGAGCUCAGUGGCAGAGCACUGUGCUUAGCAUGCACAAGGUCCUGGGUUCAAUUCCCAGUACCUCCA